RNAcentral lists this ribosomal RNA (463 nucleotides) under Vreelandella stevensii. RNAcentral's name for it is "partial 16S ribosomal RNA". It matches the Rfam family "Bacterial small subunit ribosomal RNA", at positions 338 to 795 of the family's 1533-position model. The record is from RNAcentral. Lineage: Bacteria; Pseudomonadati; Pseudomonadota; Gammaproteobacteria; Oceanospirillales; Halomonadaceae.
CCUACGGGAGCAGCAGUGGGGAAUAUUGGACAAUGGGCGAAAGCCUGAUCCAGCCAUGCCGCGUGUGUGAAGAAGGCCUUCGGGUUGUAAAGCACUUUCAGUGGGGAAGAAAGCCUUGGGGCUAAUACCCUCGAGGAAGGACAUCACCACAGAAGAAGCACCGGCUAACUCCGUGCCAGCAGCCGCGGUAAUACGGAGGGUGCGAGCGUUAAUCGGAAUUACUGGGCGUAAAGCGCGCGUAGGCGGUCUGAUAAGCCGGUUGUGAAAGCCCCGGGCUCAACCUGGGAACGGCAUCCGGAACUGUCAGGCUAGAGUGCAGGAGAGGAAGGUAGAAUUCCCGGUGUAGCGGUGAAAUGCGUAGAGAUCGGGAGGAAUACCAGUGGCGAAGGCGGUCUUCUGGACUGACACUGACGCUGAGGUGCGAAAGCGUGGGUAGCAAACAGGAUUAGAUACCCUUGUAGUC